This 210-nucleotide long non-coding RNA is filed under the name Cicer arietinum (chickpea). Its description in RNAcentral is "long non-coding RNA (CARI_LNC002392)". The record is from RNAcentral. Lineage: Eukaryota; Viridiplantae; Streptophyta; Magnoliopsida; Fabales; Fabaceae.
GUGGUUUUUUUGUUUGUUAAUUUUGUUGCUUUGUUUUACAGAUUGUGUACUUGAGGUGCAUGUGGUUGAUAUUCAAUGGAAACUGUGGUUGGAAUUGAGGAUAAUGAUGAUGGGAAGCUUGAAGACAGUGUGGUUGAUAGAAGCAGUUCUGCAGCUUUGUCUUCUUCACCCAAAAAAAUUUCUAACCCGGUUGUGUACAAACUUGUUCGG